CCCUGCCAUUUGUACACACCGCCCGUCGCUUCAACCGAUUGGAUGAUCCGGCAAAUUACACGGACUUCUGCAGUCGCUGGUACUUCGUAUCGCUCUGCGGGAGGAAGUGUCGUGAGCCUUAUCAUCUA
RNAcentral lists this ribosomal RNA (128 nucleotides) under uncultured eukaryote. RNAcentral describes it as "partial small subunit ribosomal RNA". It matches the Rfam family "Eukaryotic small subunit ribosomal RNA", at positions 1651 to 1775 of the family's 1831-position model. The record is from RNAcentral.